RNAcentral lists this unclassified non-coding RNA (239 nucleotides) under uncultured Ascocoryne. Its description in RNAcentral is "sequence contains ITS2". Lineage: Eukaryota; Fungi; Ascomycota; Leotiomycetes; Helotiales; Helotiaceae. The record is from RNAcentral.
AACGCACAUUGCGCCCCGUGGCAUUCCGCGGGGCAUGCCUGUUCGAGCGUCAUUAUGACCAAAUCACGCCAGGCGUGGUCUUGGGGCAGGCAGCUCUGCCGCCCUCAAACGUAGUGGCAGCGCCGGGUGGCUCUUAGCGUAGUAAUACUCCUCGCUAUAGGGUCCGUCGGUCGCCCGCCAGCAACCCCCAAUCUUUCUAGGUUGACCUCGGAUCAGGUAGGGAUACCCGCUGAACUUAA